GUCCUCACUUGGGCAGCACAUGUACUAAGAUUAGAACAAUACAGAGAAGAUUAGCAUGGCUUCUGAGCAAACAGGAUACACAAAUUCAUCAACUGAUCAAACAUAAA
Molecule: small nuclear RNA, 107 nt
Organism: Lynx canadensis (Canada lynx)
Lineage: Eukaryota; Metazoa; Chordata; Mammalia; Carnivora; Felidae
Source: Ensembl